Molecule: signal recognition particle RNA, 293 nt
Filed under: Zosterops lateralis melanops
Lineage: Eukaryota; Metazoa; Chordata; Aves; Passeriformes; Zosteropidae
Description: Metazoan signal recognition particle RNA (ENSZLMG00000013598.1)
Rfam family: Metazoan signal recognition particle RNA
About the family: The signal recognition particle (SRP) is a universally conserved ribonucleoprotein. It is involved in the co-translational targeting of proteins to membranes.
Source: Rfam by way of RNAcentral
GCCAAGUGCGGUGGUGCAUGCCUGUAUUCCCAGCUGCCAGGGAGGCUGAGCCGAGGGAUCGCUUGAGCCCAGGAGUUCUGGGCUGCCGUGUGCUGUGCCCAGCAGGCGUCCAAGCUAAGGGGCCAUCAGUAUGGUGACCUGCGGGGAGCUGUGGGACACCAGGAAGACCAAGGAGGAGUGAACUAGCCCAGGCCAGAGACGGAGCAGAUCAAAGCUCCUGUGGGGGUCAGUGACAAGAUCGUGCCCGUAAAUAGUCAUGUCAGUGCAACUUGAACAUCCAAAACACUAUUCCU